Molecule: transfer RNA, 76 nt
Filed under: Klebsiella phage vB_KpnS_Uniso31
Lineage: Duplodnaviria; Heunggongvirae; Uroviricota; Caudoviricetes; Demerecviridae
Description: tRNA-Glu
Source: RNAcentral
AAGAACUGGAUAAGAUGGAUGUUUCAGAGUAUGGGGAAGUAUCUCUGUGCAACUUAGGCGGAUUCGCCCUAGGUCG